AUUAAGCCAUGCAGGUCUAAGUGCACACGGUCGGUACAGUGAAACUGCGAAUGGCUCAUUAAAUCAGUUAUGGUUCCUUUGAUCGCUCCACCCGCUACUUGGAUAACUGUGGCAAUUCCAGAGCUAAUACAUGCAAACGAGCGCCGACCCGGCUCCCCCCGGGGGGUCGGGGACGCGUGCAUUUAUCAGAUCCAAAACCCAUCCGGGGUCGGCUUCGGCCGCCCCGGCCGCUUUGGUGACUCUAGAUAACCUCGGGCCGAUCGCGCGCCCUCCGCGGCGGCGACGACUCAUUCGAAUGUCUGCCCUAUCAACUUUCGAUGGUACAUUCGGCGCCUACCAUGGUGACCACGGGUAACGGGGAAUCAGGGUUCGAUUCCGGAGAGGGAGCCUGAGAAACGGCUACCACAUCCAAGGAAGGCAGCAGGCGCGCAAAUUACCCAUUUCCGACACGGAGAGGUA
This 459-nucleotide ribosomal RNA is filed under the name Scardinius erythrophthalmus (rudd). Its description in RNAcentral is "SSU rRNA". It matches the Rfam family "Eukaryotic small subunit ribosomal RNA", at positions 43 to 466 of the family's 1831-position model. The record is from RNAcentral. Lineage: Eukaryota; Metazoa; Chordata; Actinopteri; Cypriniformes; Leuciscidae.